AGCUUGAAGUUAUAUUUUAAGUAACUUCUGCCCAGCGUAUAAUAUUAGCGGCCGCAGUACCUUGACUGUGCUAAGGUAGCAUAAUCAAUUGGCUUUUAAUUGAAGUCUGGAAUGAACGGGAAAAUAGGGGAAAAACUGUCUCAGAAGAAAUUAUUUGAAAUUAUUUAGUAAGUGAAAAUACUUACACUCAGAAAAAAGACGAGAAGACCCUUAGAAUUUUUAUUAAUAAAUUUAAUUAUAUAAGUUUUAUAUUUUAGUUGGGGCGACUUUGAACCAUUUAAACGUUUGUUAAAAUACUCAACAUUAAGAUUUAAAGGAGCAAAUUACCUUAGGGAUAACAGCAUAAUUUUUUAUAAAGUUUGUGACCUCGAUGUUGGACUAGGAACUUAAUGACUAACCGUCAAUAUAGAUUGUUCUGUUCGAACAGAAACUCU
RNAcentral lists this ribosomal RNA (434 nucleotides) under Stagnicola sp. EEAR-Ukraine-2002. Its description in RNAcentral is "partial 16S ribosomal RNA". It matches the Rfam family "Bacterial large subunit ribosomal RNA", at positions 1832 to 2595 of the family's 2925-position model. The record is from RNAcentral. Lineage: Eukaryota; Metazoa; Mollusca; Gastropoda; Lymnaeidae.